ACAGUUUAACCCGCUCCACUUCUUUUGUGACAAGUCAAGGGUCAGGAAGGUCAUGCCCAUCUGUGACUGUUCAAGAAUCUGUUAGGUCUAGACAAGAGAGUGACCUUCUUCCUCCUCCCUAUGGGCUUGGUGAAGAGAAAAAUAAUGAUUCUAAUCACCUGACUCCCACACAAGAAUCUUGCAGCUGUAAAAAAAACUAAACAGAUGCUUGUUAAAACAGGACUGUCAUACACAUCAGCCAUGGUAGAUCCUUGCCUGUGGGGACGUCUGCACUGUACCCGUAGCAUGCCUUACAUCACUCCCUUCUUGCUGCUGUCUGGACUGUCACUGAUGGACCGAUGUCCACCCCCUGAGAGUUCUCUUUGCAGUCAAGGAGGGGGAAAUGGGAGACUGGACCUUGAUGAGAGACUCUGCAAUCCCGGCGACCCUGACGAUUUUCCAACAGGACCUGUAUUUGUGCAUCAGAUCCAUAGCUUCAGAGAACAAGAAGGCUGCCAUUCAAUUCUUGCCUCUGUAUUUAGUCACUGGUGACACACAGAGCAUAGGUAGGGACAAUCACAAUAGGUAUACAGCCAGCCACGGGUUGCAGGCAGCUCCAGAGAAAUGCAAGCUUGAUUGAUACCAUGGUGACACCAGAUGGCAUCACAGUCAGGUGUGAGAGAGAGCAGGGACUUCAGAGGAAAAUAGGUAUCUGAAUUUUAGCUCUGUACUGUGGUAUCCCAUCUGCUAUCUGUUAAAACUCA
Molecule: long non-coding RNA, 743 nt
Filed under: Rattus norvegicus (Norway rat)
Lineage: Eukaryota; Metazoa; Chordata; Mammalia; Rodentia; Muridae
Description: long non-coding RNA NONRATT022441
Source: RNAcentral